This 225-nucleotide ribosomal RNA is filed under the name uncultured Thorsellia sp. RNAcentral's name for it is "partial 16S ribosomal RNA". It matches the Rfam family "Bacterial small subunit ribosomal RNA", at positions 568 to 792 of the family's 1533-position model. Lineage: Bacteria; Pseudomonadati; Pseudomonadota; Gammaproteobacteria; Enterobacterales; Thorselliaceae. The record is from RNAcentral.
UGCGCAGGCGGUUCCAUAAGACAGAUGUGAAAUCCCCGGGCUCCACCUGGGAACUGCAUUUGUGACUGUGGGGCUAGAGUUCUGUAGAGGGGGGUAGAAUUCCAGGUGUAGCGGUGAAAUGCGUAGAGAUCUGGAGGAAUACCGAUUGCGAAGGCAGCCCCCUGGACAGUGACUGACGCUCAUAUGCGAAAGCGUGGGGAUCAAACAGGAUUAGAUACCCCUGUA